AACGCACAUUGCGCCUUUUGGUAUUCCGAGAGGCAUGUCUGUUUGAGCGUCAUGAACAUCCCUCGGCCGCCGGUUUUGUCGCCGGCGACCGGUCCUGAGCCCCAGGGGCCACACCCGGGGCUUCAAACAAGAAGCUAGCGAGCCGUGUCUCAUCCCAAAGCGUAGUAAAGCUCUUGCCUCGCCUGGUUGAGACGACCCGCUCCGCCUGGAAGACACAUGACACUUUUGACCUCAGGUCAGACAAGGAUACCCGCUGAACUUAA
RNAcentral lists this unclassified non-coding RNA (263 nucleotides) under uncultured fungus. RNAcentral describes it as "partial contains 5.8S ribosomal RNA, internal transcribed spacer 2, and large subunit ribosomal RNA". The stretch from base 1 to 52 matches the Rfam family "5.8S ribosomal RNA", at positions 103 to 154 of the family's 154-position model. Lineage: Eukaryota; Fungi. The record is from RNAcentral.